RNAcentral lists this ribosomal RNA (856 nucleotides) under Staphylococcus aureus. RNAcentral's name for it is "partial 23S ribosomal RNA". It matches the Rfam family "Bacterial large subunit ribosomal RNA", at positions 705 to 1561 of the family's 2925-position model. The record is from RNAcentral. Lineage: Bacteria; Bacillati; Bacillota; Bacilli; Caryophanales; Staphylococcaceae.
GGUCGUAGACCCGAAACCAGGUGAUCUACCCUUGGUCAGGUUGAAGUUCAGGUAACACUGAAUGGAGGACCGAACCGACUUACGUUGAAAAGUGAGCGGAUGAACUGAGGGUAGCGGAGAAAUUCCAAUCGAACCUGGAGAUAGCUGGUUCUCUCCGAAAUAGCUUUAGGGCUAGCCUCAAGUGAUGAUUAUUGGAGGUAGAGCACUGUUUGGACGAGGGGCCCCUCUCGGGUUACCGAAUUCAGACAAACUCCGAAUGCCAAUUAAUUUAACUUGGGAGUCAGAACAUGGGUGAUAAGGUCCGUGUUCGAAAGGGAAACAGCCCAGACCACCAGCUAAGGUCCCAAAAUAUAUGUUAAGUGGAAAAGGAUGUGGCGUUGCCCAGACAACUAGGAUGUUGGCUUAGAAGCAGCCAUCAUUUAAAGAGUGCGUAAUAGCUCACUAGUCGAGUGACACUGCGCCGAAAAUGUACCGGGGCUAAACAUAUUACCGAAGCUGUGGAUUGUCCUUUGGACAAUGGUAGGAGAGCGUUCUAAGGGCGUUGAAGCAUGAUCGUAAGGACAUGUGGAGCGCUUAGAAGUGAGAAUGCCGGUGUGAGUAGCGAAAGACGGGUGAGAAUCCCGUCCACCGAUUGACUAAGGUUUCCAGAGGAAGGCUCGUCCGCUCUGGGUUAGUCGGGUCCUAAGCUGAGGCCGACAGGCGUAGGCGAUGGAUAACAGGUUGAUAUUCCUGUACCACCUAUAAUCGUUUUAAUCGAUGGGGGGACGCAGUAGGAUAGGCGAAGCGUGCGAUUGGAUUGCACGUCUAAGCAGUAAGGCUGAGUAUUAGGCAAAUCCGGUACUCGUUAAGGCUGAGC